GUAAGUGGUUAAUUUAGGUGGGAUUGUGAGAUGGGAAAGAAAAGGUCUUAGCCUGAUUGGCUUCCUGCUGGAUGGAAGGUGGAAUUCAUAAAGGAAAGAAAGAAAGUGGUAUAGUGAUCCCUCAAAAGAACUCAAAUUCAACUAUAAGGCGGAUCUCAGCAGUGUUGGCAGUAAUUGUUCUAAGAGUUCUAAUACGAAGGAGAUGGAAAAGAAAGAUACUGGAAAGUUUUCAACUGAGAAGGCUACAUCAGAAGGGUUACCACCAAGAUGGAUUAAGGAAAUGAGGGUCAGGAGAAAGGGGCAUAAAAUCAAGAAAGAUCCGUAUUAUAUCGACCCCAUCAGUGGACAAAUUUUCCGCUUUAUGAAGGAAGUUUCUCGGUUCCUUGAAACUAGAGAGUUAGGAAGAUUUGACUCCCAAGCCUGAGGAUCAGUGUCCUGACACUUCAAAACUGGGAGAACCUUUUUCUUCUUUGACUGCUGAAGCUGACAAGCAUAUAUCGCUAGACCGCGAUGCAUCUGGCAAGGAAGUUAAUUCGAAUCAUAAGCUGAAGUUGGGUGCUGAACAUAUGGCGCAUUCCAGUUGUGUAGAAGGCAUAUAUCAUCCUUUGAAGGUAUUACUCACUAUUCGAAAGUUCUAGUGUUUCAGUUUGAUAUGGAGUAUUUAAUGCUUUAUUUAUGCUCUUAUGUCAUCUAUUUAUUGUAAGUUUCCUUCCAUUCCUCUCUUACAAAUUUCCUGAUGAAUUCAAAAACUAGUUUACUGCUGUAAUUCUUGGGGGGAAAGCUUUUAAUAUGAGAAAUUCUUUUGAUACUGCAGUCUCUACAAUCAUCAAAAGAUAUUAUAUCAUGUCAUCAAAAUCCUAAUACAGGCUUUCUUUUAAAGAAAAAAGAAAACUUAGUUUAGGCAUGUCACACGUUUCUUAGUAGUUUACCAAAAUGAAUAUUUUUAAUUUGGAAGUGAGAAAUAUUUAAGGUUUAGGAGGUGCUGUACCAUAGAAUGCGGAAGAGGAGGAUGAUGGUAAAGUUGUUUCAGAUCCUGUAAGUGGAGAAAAUCAAGAAAAGCCAUCACGAGAUGGAGUGGAAAAGCAUGACCAGGAAACAAUCCACUGUAAAAGAAAAAAGAGUAUGAACUUGCCUCGCAGAAAUCAAAACGGCUUGCUGGUAUUAAAGCUAAUACAUCUCUUUAGCUCCGAACAAAUAAUCAAGCCCAUCUAGCUACAGUAAGACAGGAGGAGACACAAGCUAUCACCACUGAUAACCCUGUGAAUUUUAUUAAUAUCAGUAAGCAUGUUGCAACUGCAUUAACUGGUAUUACCAUCAACAAGAAGGUAAAAAUUGGGAGUGUGACCAUCAAAAGGCAACAAGACGUUGUUACUUUAUCACUAAAGGAGCAAGAACUUCCUUCUCCAGAUAAACCUGCAAAAAGUAUCCUUGCUAGCUGUGAAGGUGAUAAGAAAGGUGAAAAAGCUCUUGAGUCGUCUUUAAGUGACAUUUGGACGGAUCCAUGCAUAAAAUUUGCAAUAAAAAAUCUAAUAGCACAAUUCCAGUCAUAAAUGACAAGAAAGUGGAUGCGAAAGCGAUCCCAGGUUCUUGUCCGAAUAUGCCUUGUGUUAAAGCUCCUUCCACUGUGGGUUUACCUUCUAAUGAAAUAUGGGCAGAUCCUUGCUUCAUGUUUGCAGUCAAAACUCUUACUGGUGAAAUAACUUAUGCUCUCAGAAUAUAGUACAACAGCAAUGCACUUCAUCACAAUUCCAAGGAAGUAAUGGCUUAGUAUUACCAAACAUCAGAUUUGAAGAAUUUGCCAAGGCCAAUCUUUCACAUUUUGGGACACCAAAAAAGGCUUUGUGCAAGCAACAACCUGCAGUAGCAGCGCCCAACGCAUAUCAAAAUUGUUGGUUUACAAAAUUUGGUCCUCGUCGGCCUUCACCACUUUGCUGAGAUAGACUAUUAUAGAUUGUAACCUAGCUUAGGAAGUUCAACCUAGCUUGUAGUAGUAUUGUAAUUUGUAACACAGUGCCUAAGUUAGCAUCAGGGUCUUCCACUUUGAACUCAAAUGUUUAAGGCAGCUAGAGCUGCAGUAAAAACUAUGAUGUAAAAGAAUUAUUCACAGCCGAACUGCCUGUUUCCUGUGUAUUUUUCUUGAUUGGGAACACUUAUCGCUA
Nicotiana tabacum (common tobacco) is the source of this 2159-nucleotide RNA transcript. RefSeq lists it as uncharacterized. The record is from RefSeq and is a predicted model, not a curated record. NCBI's taxonomy places the organism in Eukaryota, Viridiplantae, Streptophyta, Magnoliopsida, Solanales, Solanaceae.